GCACUUCAGCAGCACAUAUACCAAUAUUGGACCAAUAUAGCCAAGAUUAGCAUGGCUCCUGAGCCAAGAGGACAUGCAAAUUCCUCAUGAAGGUACCAUAUUA
Sciurus carolinensis (gray squirrel) is the source of this 103-nucleotide small nuclear RNA. NCBI's taxonomy places the organism in Eukaryota, Metazoa, Chordata, Mammalia, Rodentia, Sciuridae. The record is from RefSeq and is a predicted model, not a curated record.